Molecule: unclassified non-coding RNA, 229 nt
Filed under: soil metagenome
Description: partial internal transcribed spacer 1
Source: RNAcentral
UCGAGUUGAGGGUCGCCCUCGCGCGCCCGAACCUCCCAACCCUGUGUCUACCACACCUUGUCGUUGCUUCGGCGGACCGGCCGCGCGUUUCGUGACCAACUGGUCGCACGCCGGCCGCCGGGGGCCCGUCGUGCCCCUGGAGAGCGUCCGCCGAUGGCCCAACCACACAAACUCUUGUACCGAAACGUGUCGUCUGAACGAAAAACAAGUGAUUGUAUAAUCAAACACA